CCGGACCUGACUGCUAUCGGAUUGAUACUAAGCCAUGCGAGUCAUUGUAGCAAUACAAGGCGGACGGCUCAGUAACACGUAGUCAACCUAACCUAUGGACGUGGAUAACCUCGGGAAACUGAGAAUAAACCGCGAUAGAUCAUGAUGCCUGGAAUGGCUUAUGGUUCAAACAAUUUAUUGCCAUAGGAUGGGACUGCGGCCUAUCAGCUUGUUGGUGAGGUAAUGGCCCACCAAGGCUAUAACAGGUACGGGCUCUGAGAGGAGAAGCCCGGAGAUGGGUACUGAGACACGGACCCAGGCCCUAUGGGGCGCAGCAGGCGAGAAACCUUAGCAAUGUGCGAAAGCACGACUAGGUUAAUCCGAGUGGUUCCUGCUAAAGGAACCUUUUGUCAGUCGUAAAACCACAGACGAAUAAGGGGUAGGCAAGUCUGGUGUCAGCCGCCGCGGUAAUACCAGCACCUCGAGUGGUCAGGACGUUUAUUGGGCCUAAAGCAUCCGUAGCCGGCUCUGCAAGUCUUCGGUUAAAUCCACCUGCUCAACAGAUGGGCCGCUGGAGAUACUACAGAGCUAGGGAGUGGGAGAGGCAGACGGUAUUCAGUGGGUAGGGGUAAAAUCCUCUGAUCCAUUGAGGACCACCAGUGGCGAAGGCGGUCUGCCAGAACACGUUCGACGGUGAGGGAUGAAAGCUGGGGGAGCAAACCGGAUUAGAUACCCGGGUAGUCCCAGCUGUAAACGAUGCAAACUCGGUGAUGCAUUGGCUUAUGGCCAAUGCAGUGCCGCAGGGAAGCCGUUAAGUUUGCCGCCUGGGAAGUACGGACGCAAGUCUGAAACUUAAAGGAAUUGGCGGGGGAGCA
Molecule: ribosomal RNA, 854 nt
Filed under: uncultured archaeon
Lineage: Archaea
Description: bacterial SSU rRNA
Rfam family: Archaeal small subunit ribosomal RNA
Source: RNAcentral